AGCGAACGCUGGCGGCAGGCUUAACACAUGCAAGUCGAGCGGAUGUAGCAAUACAUCAGCGGCAGACGGGAGAGUAACACGUGGGAACGUACCUUUCAGUUCGGAACAACCCAGGGAAACUUGGGCUAAUACCGGAUACGCCCGUAAGGGGAAAGAUUUAUCGCUGAAAGAUCGGCCCGCGUCUGAUUAGCUAGUUGGUGAGGUAACGGCUCACCAAGGCGACGAUCAGUAGCUGGUCUGAGAGGAUGAUCAGCCUCAUUGGGACUGAGACACGGCCCAAACUCCUACGGGAGGCAGCAGUGGGGAAUAUUGGACAAUGGGCGCAAGCCUGAUCCAGCCAUGCCGCGUGGGUGAUGAAGGCCCUAGGGUUGUAAAAUUCUUUC
Molecule: ribosomal RNA, 383 nt
Filed under: uncultured bacterium
Lineage: Bacteria
Description: bacterial SSU rRNA
Rfam family: Bacterial small subunit ribosomal RNA
Source: RNAcentral